UUUUACUCAGCUUUUCUUACGUUUGUUAAAAGUUAAAAUAUUAUCUUCUGAUGUUUCUAAUUGCAGUGUUGCUGAGGUUGAGACAUUUUACAAACAGAAAUUGGAUGAAAUGAGUGCUGCUCUAAAACGAAAAGAUAAAGAAUUGAAAUCAUUUAAAGACAGGCUGGCAGCCCAGCUUGCUGCUUCAAGAGAAAAAAACAACAGCCUUCAUGAUGGAGGCAUCCCUUAAAGAGCAGCUUUAUGAG
Molecule: long non-coding RNA, 245 nt
Organism: Poecilia latipinna (sailfin molly)
Lineage: Eukaryota; Metazoa; Chordata; Actinopteri; Cyprinodontiformes; Poeciliidae
Exons: 3
Source: RefSeq, a predicted model, not a curated record